RNAcentral lists this non-coding RNA (186 nucleotides) under Woeseiaceae bacterium. RNAcentral describes it as "6S RNA". It matches the Rfam family "6S / SsrS RNA". From Rfam's summary of the family: E. coli 6S RNA was the first non coding RNA to be sequenced, but its function was unknown until recently. Lineage: Bacteria; Pseudomonadati; Pseudomonadota; Gammaproteobacteria; Woeseiales; Woeseiaceae. The record is from RNAcentral.
CGCCUCCUGCAGUGUUCGAUAAUGACCUGGAAACCUCUCGACCCUAAAUAUUUACCUCGGGGUCGUGCACUGUUGGUAGCAUUUGAGCAGGGCCGCUUCGGCGGUUAGCCUGUUGCUGCAACGGCUGACCCCACCUGUUGCUCCGGUUCGAGGGCGACGGUCUGCAACGGCACAGGCGGGAGGCGC